Non-coding RNA from Oryctolagus cuniculus (rabbit), 1111 nucleotides. Lineage: Eukaryota; Metazoa; Chordata; Mammalia; Lagomorpha; Leporidae. The record is from RefSeq and is a predicted model, not a curated record.
UGCAACGGCCGGAGCUGGGCCAAUCUGAAGCCAGGAGCCAGGAGCUUCUUCCAGAUCUCCCACAUGCAUGCAGGGGCCCAAGGAGUUGGGCCAUCUUCUACUGCUUUCCCAGGCCAUAGCAGAGAGCUGGAUUGGAAGAGGAGCAGCUGGGACUAGAAGCAGUGCACAUAUGGAAUGCCACUCCAUGCCAAUGUGUGUCCUGUUGCCAGUGAGGAGUGUGCCUGUGCCUGGCGCUUUGACCCAGAAGUGCACCCGCAGGUGCCGCCACUUCUGCCCUCGAUGCACUGGUGGGAGUCAGAGCCAUGUCUGCUCCUUCCCAGAGCCUUGAGGAGCCGCCUUCAACGCUGGUGGCUGAACCUGAGGAGACCCAGGGCCCCCCCAGGCUCAGGCCGGGAUCAGACUGCACACACAGAGGAGAAAGCAGAAGCUUAGAGAAAUGCCAAGAAUCCCUCAGUGCCCUGUUCCAGCCUGCCCCAAGAUUCUGACACCUCACAUCCCUGGUACACAGUUGGAAUUCAGCUUAUGCAGAACUAACAAUGCACUCACUGUUGGAUCUUGGGACAGGAACUGUUGGUUAUAGAAAGGUCUGUUUACAGCAAUAAAGGUAGGAGGGCCAAGAAGGGAUGUUUAAGAGAAUCAGCAUUAAUGAAGCACUUUCAGUGGUCAGGCUUCUUAAUGUACCAUUGUCUCAUUUCUAAAUAACAACACAAGGAGGGGAAGCAAGAGUUUUAUUUAAUUAUACAACAUUGUCCUGUCUAAUCCUCUUCAAAACUCUGUGAGGAAGGUACCACUGAUACCCUUUUAAAUAUGAGUUAAAGGAAGUGGGAACCAGCCCUAGGCCAUAUAGAUAUCAGUGAAGUUCCAGUUUAAAUCCUGCUGUGCUUGCCCCUCCUGGGCUGCAGGGUGUGGGCUAAUGUGAGAGGUGAGUGUGUGAGGAGGGUCCUGGAGGUGCAGUGCAACUUGCCUGCUGGGAGUGUCUCUGCAGGGCCAAAAGCCUUGACCUUUCAGGGUUGCCUGGAUUUCAGCUUGGGCUGUCUGGAGUUGAGAUUCUGAGGGCAGGAGUGUGGUGGGUCUUGCCAGUUCCCGCCUUCCUUCUCUGAGCAAAAAAGUA